CCUACGGGAGGCAGCAGUGAGGAAUAUUGGUCAAUGGGCGCGAGCCUGAACCAGCCAAGUCGCGUGAGGGAAGACGGCCCUACGGGUUGUAAACUUCUUUUGUCGGGGAGCAAUGGGCGCCACGCGUGGCCCUACUGAGAGUACCCGGAGAAAAAGCAUCGGCUAACUCCGUGCCAGCAGCCGCGGUAAUACGGAGGAUGCGAGCGUUAUCCGGAUUUAUUGGGUUUAAAGGGUGCGUAGGCGGAGCAUUAAGUCAGUGGUCAAAUUUCGGGGCUCAACCCCUUCCCGCCAUUGAAACUGGCGUUCUUGAGUGGAAGAGAAGUAUGCGGAAGGCGUGGUGUAGCGGUGAAAUGCAUAGAUAUCACGCAGAACCCCGAUUGCGAAGGCAGCAUACCGGCGUCCAACUGACGCUGAAGCACGAAAGCGUGGGGAUCGAACAGGAUUAGAUACCCGAGUAGUC
RNAcentral lists this ribosomal RNA (460 nucleotides) under uncultured bacterium. RNAcentral describes it as "partial 16S ribosomal RNA". It matches the Rfam family "Bacterial small subunit ribosomal RNA", at positions 338 to 795 of the family's 1533-position model. The record is from RNAcentral.